Long non-coding RNA from Brienomyrus brachyistius, 2367 nucleotides. RefSeq lists it as uncharacterized. NCBI's taxonomy places the organism in Eukaryota, Metazoa, Chordata, Actinopteri, Osteoglossiformes, Mormyridae. The record is from RefSeq and is a predicted model, not a curated record. The transcript is spliced from 3 exons.
UUCUCAGAUUAACGGCUGCUGUCCGCUCGCUCCGAGCAGCGCCAAGCCCCAGGGUCGGGCAGAGGUCUGGGCGGUGAGGCGUUGCACCAUUAGCCGCCUGCGAGUCCUUAGGGAUGGGUGUUGGGAGGUGCGGUUUCAUUUAACUGGUUCCUUUAAACAGCAUGGGUGGAGGUGAGCCGCAUCACAAUGCAGAGGAAUUCUGGGGUGGACUGAACACUUAAGAAGGCCGAAGAUCAGAGUGUAGCCAAAAGCCUCUUGCUGUCAUGGAUGAAAACGUUUAAACCCGCCUGGGCCGCGUGACGAAUUGGGUCCUUCGCCUCGUUUCCACGCCGUUACCACUGAGUGCCCUGGAGGACGCUUCAGGUGCCGUGUGCGGUUCAUCUGGUGUGUCCCCCCCCAGCCACUGAUGAUGUCAUAUGUGGUUAUAUUUGGGUACACAAUACCGGUGAUACUCCCAGUUUCAAAGGUAAUAUUAAAGAUGUUAAUGUUCAUGAUAAUUACACAGGGAAGAGUACAAGCGGUGAAUAUCGAGAUGAUGGUAAAUGUGUUUGCAGUACCUUGCCCAGUUUACUCCCUUCAAAGUUAAUUCACUAGUCCCAUCAAAAUGCUUAAGUUCAGUGGUUCAAACUAUGCAGCACAGUCAUUAGUAUAUUUAAGGCAGCUCCUGUCCACAGCUUUUACCGUCUGAGGGGGGGGUGUGGUGUUAAAGGUGUAAGAUCCCCUACCCUAAAUUGUUCCACAUAAAUCUGAAGUAUUUUUUCUUUUCUUUUUUUAAAUAGCGACUUCCCAGUCAAAUCUGUUUCUUCUCUAUUUAUAUCCCCCAGCCUCAGCAGGCAAACCCCUCUGAAAAGCGACCAAACGGAGUUUCGGCACCUUGCCUCUCCUUGCUCAAUCGUGGCUUUUCCUCGCCGUCCUGCCUUUGGCGGAACGCUGGCGAACACUUCAGGGUUUUUAUGGGAGCUGAGCUGCCUUCCGCGCCGCCGCCGAUCCCUGCUUGUGUACACACAGGCGCGCGCGCAUGCAUGCGCACGGUUUGCGUUUCUGUCUGCGGGGGCGAUUCCCAUUGGUCCUGCUCUGUAAUAACACUGAUGUUUCCUAACCUCCCUCUAACAAAACUGAAAAGCCGAUGGAAGCCGAUAACAUGCAGAGAUAUGAGUUUUAUCCUCUUAAAAAAAAACAGAUCUUUUGCCAUAAUUUUUUCUACUGAAUUGUUUGAAUAUUUGUCCUUAAAAUAUGAUUAAAAAAAAAAAACCCUAGGACAGACACAGGCAUACACAUCCUGCGUAAACAUAGUCUAGGGAACUAGAGUAAACUCUACCUCCCAUGAGCUCACGUUUUUUGUUGCGUUUCUUUUACUGUUGAUUUUUCCGUGCACACAGAUCUGUCCAUAAUUUUGUGCUUAAUUAGUAGAUGCUUGCAAUUUUUUGAGUUUAGCCGCAAACACAAUAGCGACUGCAGUAUUAAGAUAUCUUUGCCGUGAUCCGGGCCGGGUAGGUGACACGAGCGUUUGGACCUUGGCUCUCCUUUAACAUCAGUUCACGGCCUGCCUUUCGUCACUGAUCGGCAGAAGCCACACAACACACAGCCUGUGAAGCACGUGUUCGUCCCUGUAGGUAACGGUGCGUGUAGCGGUUCUCUUUUAGCGACGGUCGACACACAGCUACCCAAUGAAAAUGGUUUCCUGUUUCCUGUUCGAAAGGCUCCCCAAAACCUGCUCUUCGUCCACAGCGAGUCUGGUCCCCCUGUGCCUGCGACCGCAAGAAAUAUCGAGCACGGAGCAAGCCAGAUGGCUGAAAUCACAUCUGAAUGUGUUUCUGUAUGUAUGCAGCCAUACAGGCAACAUUGCACAGGCAUGAUUGACUUCCUGUAUAUAUGCAUAUGUAUAUUUGUAAAGCUUCUUCCUGUCUGUCCAAACUGUGUUUAUGUCAGUAUUCCACGCUGCAUUUAAGUGCUGACAUGUGCCAGUCUAUAUUUACUUAAAAUUUUUUUUAGCAGACGCUUAUAUCCAAAGCGAUAUACAUUUUUGAGGUGGCAGUGUCACACUGUCCCUGGUGCACUUGGAAGUUAAGGGCCUCGCUCAAGGACCCGAUUGUGAAGUCAAUCUGCUCGCCCUGGGAUUUGAACCGGCAACCUUCUGAUCACAGACGCUAAGCUACAGAUCCACACCUCGCCCCCAUCUUUGGUGUUAUGUGUUUGGCGUGUGAGUACCUGGUUGCAUGUGUGUGCGAGAGAGAGAGAGAGAGAGAGAGAGAGAGAGAGAGCAGAAAGUCACGCCCUCAACGGACCGGACUCCGCCGUGUGGCUUUGGCUCGAGCCGGAUCCACUGUUUGUGUGUGUGUGUGUGUGUGUGUGUGUGUGUGUGUGUGU